This 433-nucleotide ribosomal RNA is filed under the name uncultured bacterium. Its description in RNAcentral is "partial 16S ribosomal RNA". It matches the Rfam family "Bacterial small subunit ribosomal RNA", at positions 29 to 506 of the family's 1533-position model. The record is from RNAcentral.
AGCGAACGCUGGCGGCAGGCCUAACACAUGCAAGUCGAACGAACCUUUCGGGGUUAGUGGCGGACGGGUGAGUAACACGUGGGAACGUGCCUUUAGGUUCGGAAUAACUCAGGGAAACUUGUGCUAAUACCGAAUGUGCCCUUCGGGGGAAAGAUUUAUCGCCUUUAGAGCGGCCCGCGUCUGAUUAGCUAGUUGGUUGAGGUAAUGGCUCACCAAGGCGACGAUCAGUAGCUGGUCUGAGAGGAUGAUCAGCCACAUUGGGACUGAGACACGGCCCAAAACCAUAGGGGAGGGAAGAGGGGGGAAUUUUGGGAAAGGGGAGAAAGCCGGACGCAGCCAUGCCGGGGGAAAGAAGAAGGGUUUAGGAUUGAAAAAUUCUUUCCCCGGGGAGGAUAAGGAGGGGACCCGGAGAAGAAGCCCCGGAUAACUUCGU